GCUGAGAGCCGGGAAUUUGGGGCUGGGGGCUCCGUGGAGCUGUUCCCAGUGGACACAAACGCGUGCUCCUCGCAGCGCUGUCCCUCUCUGAUGUGCUUUUAGAAGCGCUGUUUUCUCCCAAGCCGUGUCCUCACUCCUAAAAUGCCUUCGAGCGAGAGAUAAGUGCGUGUGGGGGACGGAAGCAGUGAGCAGAUAGAUGAGUGAUUAGGUCAUUGGGAUGAGAACUGAGGGGUUUUUUUUUUUUUACGCCGAGCUCCCUUCUCGUUUCUUGCUGAUCAGAUUCCCUGCGAACACGGAGGGCUGAAACUGCGCUUUAGUCAGGUGAUCCCUGAUGAGUAGCCAGCCCACCAAGAAGGGACUUGAGCACACAGACAAACCACCUGCCAAGCUUGGAUUCUCCCUCAGUGUUUGAGACAUCCACAUUUGUCCCUUACCUUCCGGAAUUCCACAGCUCUGGGGACAAGCCGAAACACUAAAGAAGAGGACCUAAAGCAGGUGGCAGUGUGUUAUUACAAUACUCCACUCCUACUUAGGGCUUGUACAUCCCAACCCAUGCCUGGCUUUCACCAUCAUGGUGUUUUCAAGCAGGAGAAUGUGACAAGGCUUCUGUAACUUCUUUGG
Molecule: long non-coding RNA, 621 nt
Filed under: Chloebia gouldiae (Gouldian finch)
Lineage: Eukaryota; Metazoa; Chordata; Aves; Passeriformes; Passeridae
Description: Erythrura gouldiae (Gouldian finch) lncRNA (ENSEGOG00005006700.1)
Source: RNAcentral